GGGACAACAUUCGGAAACGGAUGCUAAUACCCCAUAGGUGGAUUGGUCGCAUGACGAAUUCGUUAAAGGUGGCUUUGCUACCACUCAUGGAUAGCCUCGCGGCGUAUUAGCUAGUUGGUAAGGUAAUGGCUUACCAAGGCAGUGAUACGUAGCCGACUUGAGAGGGUGAUCGGCCACACUGGGACUGAGACACGGCCCAG
RNAcentral lists this ribosomal RNA (200 nucleotides) under uncultured Carnobacteriaceae bacterium. Its description in RNAcentral is "partial 16S ribosomal RNA". It matches the Rfam family "Bacterial small subunit ribosomal RNA", at positions 140 to 334 of the family's 1533-position model. Lineage: Bacteria; Bacillati; Bacillota; Bacilli; Lactobacillales; Carnobacteriaceae. The record is from RNAcentral.